GUUUUCAUCGUUGGGGAUAUUUAAGAGAUGUGUGGAUGUGGUACUAAGGGAUAUGGUUUAGUGAUGGGACUCAGUUGGACUCAAUGACCUUGAAGGUAAUUUCCAACUAAAUGAGUCUAUGAUUCCACAUUUAUGUAAGCAAUUGAUGUUUUUUUUUUAGAUUCAAUUGAGUUGAAAAAUUGGAAGAGCAUCAUAAGGAUCAGGUCACCUUCAAAUGCCUUUGUACCUUAUUUAAGCUAAAAGAGACAAAAAGAAAAAGAAAAAAAGAAAAAAGAAGAGUAGAAAGAUGAAGAAUGUUCCUGGUGUCAUGUAAUUGCAUGGUAGCUGUUACCAGAAAGGCAUGUAUGCAGGAACUGGGAUCUGCUGAUGUGUAUCUGAAUUUCACUCUGAUAUUGUGAGAAGGCAUGAAACCAAUGUUAUGUGAAAGCAAUUUGAAAUUAAUUUCUUUGCUAUAUUGUCUCCCACCUCCCUGGUCAAAUUCCUCCUUGCACUUGGAAAGGCACAGUGGGAAAGUAGCAGCUUGUUGACAAGUAUUUGCCACAGAGGUAUAUGACUACUCAAAUUCCAACUCUUAAGAGAACAUUGAGGCUCAAGAGCUUCCCAGAACUGAACAUAUUCCUUACAAAGCAUCAAUGUCUGAAGGUACCUGCAAGAGAGUCAAAACUUAAAGAUGCAAUAUGAACCUUAAGGUAUGACUAAACGAUUGCAUAAAUCUCACCGGCUUUUCAACAAAAAUGCUUCUUCUGUGUCCAGCUCCAGUGCUGCAUCAGGUUCCCUAUAUUUCUAAAUAUGACGACAGAAAUCUCACACCGGUAAUAAUGACAUUUUAAGGUAAAAUUACUCUCUAUGCUCUGUACCCGGAUGAGCAAGGAGCAGGAGAGAACUAGCAACUUUAGCUUUUGAUCGCAAUGAAGCUGAAAAGAGAAGCUGUGGAACUGAGAUUGUGGCAUGACACUAAUGGAGAGUGCAUUGGGAGGAGCUGAAGCACUGAUGAGGGCUGGUGCUGCUAUCGAGGAGUAGAGAGAAAGAAAGCCAAAGUUAUACAGACGUGGUUGAAAUAUCAUAAUCAUGAAGCAGGACACAAAAAUAGGGUGUCAGAAAGCUUCUCUUCCAUAGUGAGGUGCUCGCUUUCUCUGUUUGUCUCCACAAUAGAGAAGACAGCCUACAUAAUGGCUCAGGAAAAAAGCUGAUCCUAGAAAGCUAUGACACCUCUAGACAGUGACUUUAGUUUUGAUCAAGGCUUAGUGAAAAAUGAGUAGAAAUAAAAAUGAUUAUUGUAUAAUGACA
Molecule: long non-coding RNA, 1287 nt
Filed under: Numida meleagris (helmeted guineafowl)
Lineage: Eukaryota; Metazoa; Chordata; Aves; Galliformes; Numididae
Description: lncRNA (ENSNMEG00000017532.1)
Source: RNAcentral